RNAcentral lists this ribosomal RNA (467 nucleotides) under uncultured bacterium. RNAcentral describes it as "partial 16S ribosomal RNA". It matches the Rfam family "Bacterial small subunit ribosomal RNA", at positions 28 to 506 of the family's 1533-position model. The record is from RNAcentral.
GACGAACGCUGGCGGCGUGCUUAACACAUGCAAGUCGAACGGAAAGGCCCUGCUUUUGUGGGGUGCUCGAGUGGCGAACGGGUGAGUAACACGUGAGUAACCUGCCCUUGACUUUGGUAUAACUUCAGGUAACUGGGGCUAAUACCGUAUAGGAUCUCCUGCUGCAUGGUGGGGGUUGGAAAGUUUCGGCGGUUGGGGAUGGACUCGCGGCUUAUCAGCUUGUUGGUGGGGUAGUUGCUUACCAAGGCUUUGACGGGUAGCCGGCCUGGGAGGGUGACCGGCCACAUGGGGACUGAGAUACGGCCCAGACGGCAACGGGGGGCAGCAGUGGGGAGUAUUGCACAAUGGGCGGAAGCCGGAUGAAGAAACGCCGGGUGCGGGAUGACGGCCUUCGGGUAGUAAACAGCUUUAGCCUGUGACGAAGCGUGAGUGACGGUAAUGGGUAAAGAAGCACCGGCUAACUACGU